This 995-nucleotide ribosomal RNA is filed under the name uncultured bacterium. Its description in RNAcentral is "bacterial SSU rRNA". It matches the Rfam family "Bacterial small subunit ribosomal RNA", at positions 355 to 1375 of the family's 1533-position model. The record is from RNAcentral.
UGGGGGAUAUUGCACAAUGGGGGAAACCCUGAUGCAGCGACGCCGCGUGGAGGAAGAAGGUUUUCGGAUUGUAAACUCCUGUCGUUAGGGACGAUAAUGACGGUACCUAACAAGAAAGCACCGGCUAACUACGUGCCAGCAGCCGCGGUAAAACGUAGGGUGCAAGCGUUGUCCGGAAUUACUGGGUGUAAAGGGAGCGCAGGCGGGAAGACAAGUUGGAAGUGAAAACCAUGGGCUCAACCCAUGAAUUGCUUUCAAAACUGUUUUUCUUGAGUAGUGCAGAGGUAGAUGGAAUUCCCGGUGUAGCGGUGGAAUGCGUAGAUAUCGGGAGGAACACCAGUGGCGAAGGCGGCCUACUGGGCACCAACUGACGCUGAGGCUCGAAAGUGUGGGUAGCAAACAGGAUUAGAUACCCUGGUAGUCCACACCGUAAACGAUGAUUACUAGGUGUUGGAGGAUUGACCCCUUCAGUGCCGCAGUUAACACAAUAAGUAAUCCACCUGGGGAGUACGACCGCAAGGUUGAAACUCAAAGGAAUUGACGGGGGCCCGCACAAGCAGUGGAGUAUGUGGUUUAAUUCGACGCAACGCGAAGAACCUUACCAAGUCUUGACAUCCCUUGACGAACAUAGAAAUAUGUUUUCUCUUCGGAGCAAGGAGACAGGUGGUGCAUGGUUGUCGUCAGCUCGUGUCGUGAGAUGUUGGGUUAAGUCCCGCAACGAGCGCAACCCUUACUGUCAGUUACUACGCAAGAGGACUCUGGCAGGACUGCCGUUGACAAAACGGAGGAAGGUGGGGAUGACGUCAAAUCAUCAUGCCCUUUAUGACUUGGGCUACACACGUACUACAAUGGCGUUAAACAAAGAGAAGCAAGACCGCGAGGUGGAGCAAAACUCAGAAACAACGUCCCAGUUCGGACUGCAGGCUGCAACUCGCCUGCACGAAGUCGGAAUUGCUAGUAAUCGUGGAUCAGCAUGCCACGGUGAAUACGUUCCC